CCCUUAGAUGUCCUGGGCCGCACGCGCGCUACACUGAUGCAUGCAACGAGUUUAUAACCUUGGCCUGAAAGGUCUGGGUAAUCUUUUGAACGUGCAUCGUGAUAGGGAUAGAUUAUUGCAAUUGUUAAACUUGAACGAGGAAUUCCUAGUAAACGCGAGUCAUCAGCUCGCAUUGAUUACGUCCCUGCCCUUUGUACACACCGCCCGUCGCACCUACCGAUUGAAUGGUUCGGUGAAGAUCUCGGACUUCGAUAUUUAUUCUUUAUUGAGUUUAUAUUGUGGGAAGUUAUCUAAACCUCAUCAUUUAGAGGAAGGUGAAGUCGUAACA
This 328-nucleotide ribosomal RNA is filed under the name uncultured eukaryote. Its description in RNAcentral is "partial 18S ribosomal RNA". It matches the Rfam family "Eukaryotic small subunit ribosomal RNA", at positions 1470 to 1796 of the family's 1831-position model. The record is from RNAcentral.